ACUAACCAAUAUUUAGAAAAACUAAUUAACUUAAUAAAAAACUAAAAAUAAUGACCAAUAAAAAAGAAGUCGAGUACAAAAGGAACUGGUCACACUAAGAUUGUCAGCACAAAACACGUUAUUUGAAAAAUACACUGCUUCCUCAAAUUUUGACAAUUCAAUCGAUUUUUUCUGUAUUCUCAAAUAAAUUCAUUCUGACUGACAUUUC
Molecule: long non-coding RNA, 208 nt
Filed under: Lathyrus oleraceus (garden pea)
Lineage: Eukaryota; Viridiplantae; Streptophyta; Magnoliopsida; Fabales; Fabaceae
Description: Pisum sativum (pea) long non-coding RNA (PSAT_LNC023924)
Source: RNAcentral